Molecule: ribosomal RNA, 245 nt
Filed under: uncultured Clostridia bacterium
Lineage: Bacteria; Bacillati; Bacillota; Clostridia
Description: partial 16S ribosomal RNA
Rfam family: Bacterial small subunit ribosomal RNA
Source: RNAcentral
GACGGAGGGGGCAAGUGUUGUCCGGAAUUACUGGGUGUAAAGGGCAUGUAAAUGGUUGGGUAAGUCAGAUAUGAAAUCCCUCGGCUCAACCGAGGAACAGUAUCUGAAACUACCUAACUAGAGUUUGGAAGAGGAGAGCGGAACUCCUGGUGUAGCGGUGGAAUGCGUAGAUAUCAGGAGGAACACCAGUGGCGAAGGCGGCUCUCUAGUCCAAAACUGACAUCGAAAUGCGAAAGCUAGGGGAG